Long non-coding RNA from Daphnia magna, 487 nucleotides. RefSeq lists it as uncharacterized. The transcript is spliced from 2 exons. Lineage: Eukaryota; Metazoa; Arthropoda; Branchiopoda; Diplostraca; Daphniidae. The record is from RefSeq and is a predicted model, not a curated record.
CGGUUAAAAAUGGUAGAGAACCGUCGUCGUUCAUUUUUCAGCAAGUCAUAGACGAGACUGUCCAGUCCUUCACUAUGCAGAUCGCUUUUGCGCUUUCUAAGAAUCUCUUCUCUCUGACGCAAUAUGUCGACGAGCUGUUCGUUGGGACAUCACUAUUGAGGAUGGUCAAGACUGUAGACAUACAGCGGGAGAAAUCACGGGCUAGUUGGUAAUUUUUAUCACUUCAUCUAUUACACACAAAUCAUAAUCGUUUUCGAAAUUAGUGACCAAAGCCGUUGAUGUCUUCAAACUGGAAUCUUAAGAUUGCCAGGAAUUCCCUCGUGUAACCUUCAUAAGCUGUGCUGAAUAGAGAGUGUGACACCAACAGGAUAUGAGUUUUAGAAUAUAAACGGGUUUCGAUUCGGUUAUAUUUUAGAACGUCAGGAAUUUCUUAACACAACACUGAUUAGCAUAGUGUGUACAAAAUCAAAUACAAAAAAGCUUUCUA